This 265-nucleotide ribosomal RNA is filed under the name uncultured archaeon. RNAcentral's name for it is "partial 16S ribosomal RNA". It matches the Rfam family "Archaeal small subunit ribosomal RNA", at positions 716 to 982 of the family's 1478-position model. The record is from RNAcentral.
AGUCACUGACAUUAGAUACCCGCGUAGUCCAGGGUGUAAACGCUGCAGACUUGGUGUUGGGAACCCUUCGGGGGUGUCCAGUGCCGGAGAGAAGUUGUUAAGUCUGCUACUUGGGGAGUACGUCCGCAAGGAUGAAACUUAAAGGAAUUGGCGGGGGAGCACCGCAACGGGAGGAGCGUGCGGUUUAAUUGGAUUCAACACCGUAAAACUCACCAGGGAAGACUGUUACAUGAAAGCCGAGAUGAAGACUCUGCUAGAUUUUCAG